Chiroxiphia lanceolata (lance-tailed manakin) is the source of this 353-nucleotide long non-coding RNA. RefSeq lists it as uncharacterized. Lineage: Eukaryota; Metazoa; Chordata; Aves; Passeriformes; Pipridae. The transcript has 3 exons. The record is from RefSeq and is a predicted model, not a curated record.
GCCCCUGGGCUACUCAGGCAGGACUCGCCCUUGGUGAAGCUGUGCUGUCCUGAAUCACCUUCCCAUUGUGCAUGUGCCUUAGCUUCUAGGUGAAUCUGUUCCAUGAUCUUCCCAGGCACAGAGGUGAGGCUGAGAGCUUGACAGAUUUGUGCUGCCAUCUUUGUGCCAUAUUGCACACCAGACAUCAGGAUAAAACCUGCAGUGAUGAUGCUGUGGAAUCUAAUUGGUUUUUAGGAACAGAAGCCAUGAUGUUUGGGCCAGCCAAUAUCUAAAAUGGAAGUCCGGAAGCAGUUCUGUCUGAUGCUGCAAAAACAGAUCUGCAAGUGUGAAAUCAGUAGACUGUAAGGACUGUC